GGCGGUGUAACUCAGUCUGGUAGAGUAGCGGGGUCAUAAUCCGUUUGUCGCAGGUUCAAAUCCUGCCACCGUCACCA
RNAcentral lists this transfer RNA (77 nucleotides) under Verrucomicrobiaceae bacterium. RNAcentral describes it as "tRNA-Met". It matches the Rfam family "tRNA". From Rfam's summary of the family: Transfer RNA (tRNA) molecules are approximately 80 nucleotides in length. The record is from RNAcentral. Lineage: Bacteria; Pseudomonadati; Verrucomicrobiota; Verrucomicrobiia; Verrucomicrobiales; Verrucomicrobiaceae.